Molecule: long non-coding RNA, 6812 nt
Filed under: Panax ginseng (ginseng)
Lineage: Eukaryota; Viridiplantae; Streptophyta; Magnoliopsida; Apiales; Araliaceae
Description: long non-coding RNA (PGIN_LNC010830)
Source: RNAcentral
AAGGUCUGAUGCUUUGGCGAAUGCCAAAUUUAAAGGAAAACAAAAAUCAAAUUCUUCUACCCAAGGAACAAAAAUUAAAGAUUGUCAACUGGUAUCACUUUUCUCUCUGUUUUUACAAUGGAUUUAGAUGUUAUUGAAUUUAAAAAAAUUAAAGUUUCGUUUUAUGUAGAACGUUUGAUUUGUCAAUAUGUUUUUGGUUUGUCUCAUUUAAUAUUAUAUAUAUUUUUUAUCGUGUUCUUGCACAGAAGGAGAAAAAAAGGUCUGAUGCUUUGGCGAAUGCCAAAUUUAAGGGGAAACAGAAAUCAACAUUUUCUAGCCAAGGAACAACAAAUAUAGAUUGCCAAUUGGUAUCACUUUUAUUCCUAUUCUUUUCUCUCUGUUUUUACAAUGGUUUUGGAUGUUAUUAAAUUUAAAAAAUUUUAAGUUUUGUUUUAUGUAGAACGUUUGAUUUGUCAACAUGUUUUUGGUUUUUCUCAUUUAAUAUUACUUAUUUUUUUAUUUCGUGUAUACAAUUAAAUUACUGAGAAACUAUGAUUUUUUGUUUUUUUUUACCAAUUUUGUAGUUAAGAGAUUUAGUUUCUUUAUCUUAAUGUUGUUUUGUUACCAAUUUUAAUGUUACUAUAUGCAAUUGUGGCUAUAGUGUUACCAAUUAUAAUUAUAAAGUUGAUAAACGGUUGGGUAGAUAGUUCUGUUAAUGUAACACUUUAUUUUCAUUUUACAUCACGUUGCUAUAUAUACAAAGUGGAAAACGAUACGAUAUACGAUAAAUCAACAAAAUAAUAAUUAUUUUUUUAUGAGUUUGUGGUUUAGGCACAAAACUAUAACGUUAUAUCAAAAUCAACAUUGACGCAAUGUGCAAGGCUUGCUCCAAAAAUACGUUAUGCUGGGAAAGAAAAUGAGUGCUCCAAACGUCAACCGGGACAACUUGCAUGUCACAAAAGAGAGCGAUCAAAACAUUGUGACCCCGUUCAGCCUAGAUUUUUUCCUUCUUUACCACCGAGCCGUCGUCGCCGAGCAUGCCUAGAACGAGAAUCAAAUAAAAGGUCCCGCCUUCAACCAAUGACUUUGUCUACCAAAAUUUCACAUCCUGAAAUAGACAGUAUAGUGCCAACAAAUGUUUUAGAGUCAUCGUCAGCCACAAUUAUUUCACGGUGGUUGUCCGUGGCCAUCAUGAAUCAAGAAAAUCCUCCUCAAAAUCUUGAAGAAGGCACCCCAACAAAUAUCUUAAGGUUGUCACCUGUGACUACCAUGCUCCAAGACUUGCUUCCUCAAAACCUAUACAAAAGCACUACAACAGUCUUAGAACCAUUCUCCCCACGUUCCCCAGGGGCAUCGUAUAUGACAAACAUGUUCCAACAAAUGCGUAAUCCGGAUGAAGGCACCAGGUGUUUGAUUUAAGUUUUAAUUUUCUAUUCUCACACUUUCUGUCUUAUUCAUGUUAUCCUUUUAAAAAUUGUAUGACAUCUAUAAUUUUAUCUGUAGUGCCUACACAGUAGAAGGUGUUACUAUGGAUGUUGCAAUUAAUCCUCAAAACCAUGAAAUUCCAGAUCGUCAUUCCCUCGGCUUGAUGAAUCGAACAUGUCCUCAUUGUUCUGCCUUAUAUUGGCUUGCUAAAAAGUUAACAAAAUCAUCUGUAUCAAAUCCUCUCUUCGGUAAAUGUUGUUUACAAGGAAAAAUUAGACUGCCGCCACUUAUUGCACCUCCUUUAAUGCUUAAAGCAUUGUAUGACGGCAAUGAUGAACAAUCAAAAUCGUUUCGUCAGCACACACGAGAGUAUAAUGCAGCUAAUGCGUUUACAAGUCUUGGUGCUACUUUGGACUACAGAUUAAUUCCCGGGAGGGGGCCUAGAACAUUCACCAUCCAUGGAGAAUUACACCAUCGAACAGGAUCGCUUAUGCCACAGCCAGGGUGUGAACCAAUUUACUCUCAACUGUACAUUUAUGAUCCUAAUUCAGCUUUAGAUGUUCGCAGCAACAAAAAUCCUAACUUGAGAAGAGAUGUUUUGAAAACCAUACAAGAUUGUUUAUUGCAAGUAAAUCCAUUUCCUAUAAAAUUUCGGCAGGCUCACACAAUUUUAAGUGAAUUAGAAUUGACGGGGGUGAAUUUACCGGCCUAUCUUCACUAAAGUUCUGUAACAGACCGGCGUCGAUAUAAUUUCCCAACAAUCGAUGAGAUUGCGGUAAUAUUGCCGGGAGAUGGAACUGAAUCAAGUGGAAUGAGAGAUAUUAUGUUACAUUUAAGAGGGGAUAAUGGUUUGAUGCAAAUUAAUGAGUGUCAUCCGGCCUAUUUGCCAUUGCAUUAUGUGGUAUUGUUCCCUUAUGGUGAGCUAGGAUGGAAUCCAUAUUUGAAAUAGUGGAACGCUUCCCAAGGUGGACCUUCAUCUGCUCGAUUGACACAAUUGCAAUAUUACAGUUAUCAUAUGUUCCAACGUGACACUGAGUAUUCAACCAUUUUGAGAGCCGGAAAACUAUUUCAAGAAUUUGUAGUAGAUGCUUGGGCCGUUACUGAACAAAAUCGGUUGACAUACUACAAGUUGAAUCAAUCGAAGCUUCGUGCAGAACUUUACCAAGGUCUUACAGAUGUUUGUACAGAUGAGCUUGGUCCUGAACAAGUUGGUCAACGAAUGAUUUUGCCAUCUUCAUUCACUGGUAGUGCAAGAAAUAUGUUUGAAAUUUUUCAAGAUUCAAUGGCUAUCACGCGGUAUAAUCAACACCCAAAUAUUUUUCUACCUAUGACUGCGAAUCCCAAAUGGCCUGAAAUUACUAAAUCACUAUUGCCAAAUCAGAUCCCUACUGACCGUCCUGAUUUAGUGGCCAAUGUUUUUGAGUUGAAGCGAAAUUUUUUGAUGAAGGAGAUAGAAACAAACAACGUCUUUGGUAGAAAAGUGGCGCAUGUUUUUAUAAUCGAAUUUCAAAAAAGGGGGUUACCGCACAUGCAUGCACUUUUGUUCCUUUAUGGUUCAGAUAAAAUUCAAACAUGUGUUCAAGUGGAUAGAGUAGUGUGUGCUGAAUUUUCGGAUUGCCAAACUGACCCAUUGCUCUUUGAAACAAUUAUAGGUUGCAUGGUACACGGACCAUAUGGUGCUCGAAAUCCACAAGCACCAUGUAUGGAAAAUGGGGUAUGUACCAAGCGGUACCCUCGAUCAUUUGCUGAAUCAACAAGUAUGGACUCUGAUGGAUAUCCUGUUUAUCGUCGUCGUAAUACUGGUCAGAAGUACAUCGUGAGGGGGCAAGAAAUUGAUAAUAGAGACGUUGUGCCACAUAAUCCGUAUUUAUCAAGAAUGUUCAAUUUUCAUAUCAAUGUUGAAGUUUGUGCAGAGUCAGAUGUGUAAAAUACAUUCACAAGUAUAUUUAUAAAGGACAUGAUCGCGUAACAAUGGUAAUUGGAGGAAUUAAUGAGAUCCAACAAUAUCUUGAUGCUAGGUAUAUUGGACCUCCAGAAGCCACGUGGCGAUUGUUUGGUAAUCCUUUACAUGAAGAGAUUCCUUCAGUUGUAAGAUUGGCACUUCAUUUGCCUGGGAUGCAUCGUGUUGUCUUUAACCCUGCUGAAUCUUUUGAUAUGAUCCUUUCUAAAGGUGCACAUCAAAAAACAACUCUAACUGGCUUUUUUGAUUAUUGCGCUAUAAAUGAAUCAGCCCGUGUAUUAACUUAUCAGGAAUUUCCAAAAAAAUUUGUUUGGAACAAGUCUAUCGAUAAAUGGACUCCAAGACAAAGGGGUUAUGCAAUUGGUAGAAUGUACUUUGCUAGUACUAAUUCAGGUGAGCGGUUUUAUCUGCGUUUACUUCUAACUGUUGUUAGAGGACCUACUUCAUUUGACUGCCUACGCACGGUAAAUAAUGUUAUGCAUGAUACAUUCAAGUCAGCAUGUGUUGCAAGAGGACUUCUUGAAGAUGAUGAAGAAUGGAUACAAUGUCUUCACGAGGCUGCAAUUAUGAGAACGGGAUACCAAUUAAGGAGACUAUUUGUAGUAAUUCUAACGGAAUGCUUUCCAUUGCAUCCAUUUGAAUUGUGGAAGCAAUUCUCAGCACAUAUAUGUGAUGAUUUGGCACACAGGAUUCGUACUAAGUUUGGGAUUUUGAAUCCAACUGAUGAUCAUAUUGAAGAUUAUGGCUUAUAUUUGAUAAAUCAAUUGCUCCAUGAGUCGGGAAAGAGUUUAGUUGACUUUCCACCCAUGCCACAACCAACUGAAAAUUGGAAUGCAAUAGUUGGAAAUAGAUUACUGUUUGAGCACCAACAACUUGAGAAUGAAGCACAACAGUCUGAUGCACAAAUUAAUGUUGACAGACUUAAUGAUGCACAACUUGCUGCUUAUACUGCUGUCACAACGUCAGUAUGUGAAAACAAAGCAACUACUUUCUUUUUGAGUGGAGGUGCUGGGACGGGAAAAACAUUUUUGUACAAUACCAUUGCAACCAAAUUGCGUAGCUAUGGACAUGUUGUUGUUACUGUGGCUUCAUCUGGUAUUGCAUCUUUGUUAUUGGUAGGGGGCGCACUGCACAUUCUACAUUUUGUAUUCCUUUGGAAACCCUAGAUAAUUCAAUAUGUGGGUUCACUAAACAAUCAAUGCAUGCCGAGUUGUUUAGAAAAACAAAGCUGAUAAUAUGGGAUGAAGUUCCUAUGCAACACCGAUACUGUGUUGAGGCAGUCAAUCGCACCCUUCAAGAUAUCAGAGACGAUAAAAGACCUUUUGGGGGUAUCACUGUUGUCCUAGGUGGAGACUUUCGACAAAUAUUGCCUGUUAUUCCUAAAGGCGUUCGCGAGCAAAUUGUGGGUGCAUCAUUGAGACGGUCUUCGUUAUGGAAAGAUAUAUGUGUUUUGACUCUGGGUUUAAACAUGCGAUUAACUCACACAGACGUUCGAAAUAUUAAUUUUGCUCAAUUCUUGAUGGAGGUAAUUUUUCAUUCAACCUUGAAUUAAAUUUUUAUAACAUGAUACUUUGAAUUAAAUCUCAUUUUGUGAAUAAUUAUAUUUUUAUUUUCUAGAUUGGGACCAAUCCACAAGAAAUUGUGCAACUUCCAUCUACAAUAAACCGAUGUCAUAAUCUAAAUGAAUUGAUAUUUAGAAUCUAUCCACAAUUGGAUGUGGUUGGUAUAAUGACUCAAACCUUUCUCACUGAACGGACAAUUCUAUCUGCUCGCAAUGACGACGUCAGUGAUAUAAAUGUUGCAGCACUGAAUAUUACUCCGGGAGAAACAAUUACUUUUUUAGCUGCAGAUAAAAUGUGUGAAGGUGAUGAGCUCGAUCAUACCAUUAGGAAUCGAUAUCCUAACGAGUACUUAAACUCGCUGAAUCCUUCAGGGUUGCCACCGUUUAAAUUGGAGUUAAAAGUUGGAUGCCCAAUAAUGUUGUUACGAAAUAUUGCACCGAAAGAUGGACUUUGUAAUGGCACGCGAUUGAUGGUUGUUAGAUGUGCCUCAAGGGUAAUCGAAAUUCGGAUAUUAAAUGGAGAUAAAAUUGGCAAUUUAUUCUUCAUUCCAAGAAUAUCAUUGACACCAACAUCUUUGGACUUGCCUUUUCGAAUGACAAGACGUCAGUUUCCUAUCCGAUUAACUUAUGCUAUGACAAUCAAUAAAGCCCAAGGACAAUCUGUCAAGUUCGUUGGGAUUGAUUUGCGAACACCUGUUUUUAGUCAUGGACACCUUUAUGUGGCACUAUCUAGAUGCACAUCUGCGGAUCGUAUUACUGUCCUCCUUCCGGAAGAUGGGUCGAAUUGCACCACAAAUAUUGUUUACCCAGAAGUUUUAUUAUGAUAUUCUUACGACAAGUAAAUGGUAUAGUUUAAACAAGUUUAUUUCUACUAAAUUAUGUAAUCUUUUCAACAUUUCAACUUUUAAUUUUACAAUGAGGUUCAUUCUUUGUAGGAUUGGAGUGAAUUUGUCAACGAGAACAAUAAAAUAUAUACAAUGGACCUUUGUGGAUGGGGCCGACGUAAUCAGGUAAAUCUACUUUUAUGUCACUGCAUCAAAAUAACUUUACUAUUCCUAUAAUAUAAAUAGUGUUACUUUUAUUGUUUAUGUAAAUAAUAUAGGUGGUUGUGCAUUCUCCUCAUUGGGCAAAGUACGUUCGUAUUGAUACGAGGACAUUAAGGAUAUUGAUGAAGAGGAGAUUUAAAGGGAUGAAAAAGACAUUUAAGAGAGUUAAAUGAUAUGCAAUCCAAUACUGACAUGUCCACCUUUGACGAUUACUAACCUACCACUGACCAAACAAUUGUCUAGGUGUGAAAGUCUCUCUUACUAAGACUAUAUUUCUCUACUUCUCAUGCAGACACACAACACACAUAAUACAUGCACAAACACACACACAUAGCUGUAACCAAUCAAACACUCUCAAAUCAAACUCACACACCAUUAUACUGCCACCGAUACAAAUUUAUGAUUUAAAUCAUUAAGCAAAUGAACUGUUCGUUGAGAUAGUACUAAGAAAACUUUAUUUGAUUGUAAGUCCAUAUUUUUCCUUAAAAAAUUGAUUAUUUGUUACAAUCUCUCUAAAUUCUUACUGCAGUCAAUCUAAAUCAUUCCCCCUACAUACAAAUAUGUGUGCUCAUUUGUUUCGAAUUUAUAAUUAUUUUAUUUUAACUCACAUAUUACGAUAAUUUUUAAAUUUCAAUUAUUUUCAGGUAUAUAUUGAAGGAUACAUGAUGUAAGCUGUAAAGAAUAUACUUGGUGUAAGCUGUAAAGUAAAGGGUCUUAGUUUCUCUAUUUUCUGCAUGUAUGUAUUUUUUGUAUUCUGCCUUUUGUAAGUUAGCUAAUUAUACUUGGUUAUGAUGAUUUUGGGUAUAGAAUGAAGGUUUUUUUGGUGGUUUGGAUAUGUAUG